AUUUAAGUAGUUUAAAAAAUAUCGAUUUGUGGUGUCGAAGUUGUAGUUAAAUUUAUUACCUUAAAUC
RNAcentral lists this transfer RNA (67 nucleotides) under Panesthia sloanei. Its description in RNAcentral is "tRNA-His". The record is from RNAcentral. Lineage: Eukaryota; Metazoa; Arthropoda; Insecta; Blattodea; Blaberidae.